UGCAAGGCUAGAGUUUGGCAGAGGGGGGUAGAAUUCCACGUGUAGCGGUGAAAUGCGUAGAUAUGUGGAGGAACACCGAUGGCGAAGGCAGCCCCCUGGGUCAAAACUGACGCUCAUGCACGAAAGCGUGGGGAGCAAACAGGAUUAGAUACCCUGGUAGUCCACGCCCUAAACGAUGUCUACUAGUUGUUGGGUUU
This 197-nucleotide ribosomal RNA is filed under the name uncultured Duganella sp. Its description in RNAcentral is "partial 16S ribosomal RNA". It matches the Rfam family "Bacterial small subunit ribosomal RNA", at positions 634 to 830 of the family's 1533-position model. The record is from RNAcentral. Lineage: Bacteria; Pseudomonadati; Pseudomonadota; Betaproteobacteria; Burkholderiales; Oxalobacteraceae.